Molecule: long non-coding RNA, 898 nt
Filed under: Lactuca sativa (garden lettuce)
Lineage: Eukaryota; Viridiplantae; Streptophyta; Magnoliopsida; Asterales; Asteraceae
Description: long non-coding RNA (LSAT_LNC008215)
Source: RNAcentral
UGAACUAUGAUAUGUAUAGGUUAUAUUCACCAUCACCAUCACUUUUGAUAAGCUAUCAUAUGCAUAGUUCAGGUUCACUAAUCCCUAUUACUCCCCGGUGAACUAUGAUAUGUAUAGGUUAUAUUCACCAUCACCAUCACUUUUGAUAAGCUAUCAUAUGCAUAGUUCAGGUUCACUAAUCCCUAUUACUCCCCGGUGAACUAUGAUAUGUAUAGGUUAUAUUCACAUUAAAUUUUCGCAUUGUUAGACUUCAACUAUAAUCGUUGAGCGUAUAUGCUUGAGUCAUACAAGAAUUUAGUCUGGAUUGGCUUAGAAUUGGUGGUGCCCGCCUCAUCUCCUGUUCCUCGUUGGGUUGUGGACCUAGGGCAGACCCACUAUAUUCAACGUUUUAUCUAACUUAAAUCUUAUAUAACUUAUAUACGCUGGACGAUUAUAGGGGAAAUCUACGGGUCAAUCUAGGGUUCAUCAACACAUCAUAUAGGAAUAUUCUGUUUACACUUAACUAAGAAAAUAUUGGAUUUUCUGGAGAUCAAACUCUAUCGAUUUUAAAAAGGAAAACGGUUUCUACUCCAAACAAAACUCUUAUGAACUCACCAACUUAAUUGUUGACACUCUCUUUCAAAACUACUUGUAUUCUCAGGAAAUCAGUGAGACAGGAAAACUUCAGCGCUUUGAGGAUGGGACGUUAAACCGUCAACAAUUUAUUUUUGUCAUCAUAUUGUAAUUGAUUUUGAAACAUGUAAACAUAUAUUUUGGUGUAACUUUUUCAAUUAUAUUUAUGAUGGUUGUAUUUACUUUGAGCACUAUUAUACACGUUGUUGUGAUACUGUACAUGAAGUCCUCCACCCCUGGACGUUUCCGCCAUCCUUGGUUUGGGGGUGUGACAGUUUAUGUUAAU